GAAAAUGUGUCUCCAUUCGAAGGUAUAACAUAACACUGUUGUCACCACAUCUGGACAUUUUUGGCACCUACUGUUGACUGCGCAGGUCUGGAGAAUCACCAGGAAUAAAAUGAUGAAAGAGAUGCCAUUAAGAAGUUGCUGUCCGUAACAUGCGAUGAGUGCUCCUACAUCCAACACCAGUACCAAUGGAAGAGAGAGAGCUGCAGAUCUGCAAACAGGACAGAAAGAGCCCCAAAGGGAAAAGUCUGCUCAGCAAACUUUCUGAUGAGCCCUUGAAGCUACAGCCUCACAGUGUGUGCAUGAGGACAAGACUGACAGACAACCCUAGAUCUAAGCAUCCAACUCAUAGCUGAAAAGAGAAGAUGAGCUGCACUUCCAACCCCACCACAGCUCUUGAACCAAAGCUCCACG
Molecule: long non-coding RNA, 411 nt
Organism: Gallus gallus (chicken)
Lineage: Eukaryota; Metazoa; Chordata; Aves; Galliformes; Phasianidae
Source: Ensembl